This 125-nucleotide ribosomal RNA is filed under the name Aspergillus cristatus. The record is from RNAcentral. Lineage: Eukaryota; Fungi; Ascomycota; Eurotiomycetes; Eurotiales; Aspergillaceae.
ACAUACGACCAUAGGGUGUGGAAAACAGGGCUUCCCGUCCGCUCAGCCGUACUUAAGCCACACGCCGGCCGGUUAGUAGUUGGGUGGGUGACCACCAGCGAAUCCCAUCCCGGCUGUUGUAUGUU